CAGCCGCCGCGGGAACACGGAGGGGGCUAGCGUUGUUCGGAAUUACUGGGCGUAAAGCGCACGUAGGCGGCUUGGUAAGUUAGAGGUGAAAGCCUGGAGCUCAACUCCAGAAUUGCCUUUAAGACUGCCGAGCUAGCAGGUGAGAGAGGUAAGUGGAAUUCCGAGUGUAGAGGUGAAAUUCGUAGAUAUUCGGAAGAACACCAGUGGCGAAGGCGGCUUACUGGCUCAUACUGGACGCUGAGGUGCGAAAGCGUGGGGAGCAAACAGGAUUAGAUACCCGCGUAGUCCCUGUCUCUUAUAC
Molecule: ribosomal RNA, 301 nt
Filed under: uncultured bacterium
Lineage: Bacteria
Description: partial 16S ribosomal RNA
Rfam family: Bacterial small subunit ribosomal RNA
Source: RNAcentral